AAACAUGUCUUUUUGAAUUAUAUUUAAAGUCUGACCUGCCCACUGAAUAAUUUUAAAUGGCCGCAGUAUUUUGACUGUGCAAAGGUAGCAUAAUCAUUAGUCUUUUAAUUGAAGGCUGGUAUGAACGGUUGGACGAAGUAUAAACUGUUUCAUGUAAAUUUAUAAUAGAAUUUUAUAUUUUAGUUAAAAAGCUAAAAUUUUAUUAAAAGACGAGAAGACCCUAUAAAUCUUUAUAAUUAAUAAUAACUAAAUUUUUUUGAUUUGUUUUAUUUUUUUAAUGUUGAUUAUUUUGUUGGGGUGAUGUUAAAAUUUAAUGAACUUUUAAUUUUUUAAAAUCAUUAAUUUAUGAAUUAUUGAUCCAUUAAUAGUGAUUAUAAGAUUAAGUUACUUUAGGGAUAACAGCGUAAUUUUUUUUGAGAGUUCAUAUCGAUAAAAAAGUUUGCGACCUCGAUGUUGGAUUAAGGUAUAAUUUUGGGUGUAGCCGUUCAAAAAUUAAGUCUGUUCGACUUUUAAAUCCUUACAUGAUC
Molecule: ribosomal RNA, 527 nt
Filed under: Anastrepha ramosa
Lineage: Eukaryota; Metazoa; Arthropoda; Insecta; Diptera; Tephritidae
Description: partial small subunit ribosomal RNA
Rfam family: Bacterial large subunit ribosomal RNA
Source: RNAcentral